GUGGGGAAUAUUGGACAAUGGGCGAAAGCCUGAUCCAGCCAUGCCGCGUGUGUGAAGAAGGUCUUCGGAUUGUAAAGCACUUUAAGUUGGGAGGAAGGGCAGUAAGUUAAUACCUUGCUGUUUUGACGUUACCGACAGAAUAAGCACCGGCUAACUUCGUGCCAGCAGCCGCGGUAAUACGAAGGGUGCAAGCGUUAAUCGGAAUUACUGGUCGUAAAGCGCGCGUAGGUGGUUUUGUAAGUUGGAGGUGAAAUCCCCGGGCUCAACCUGGGAACUGCCUCCAAAACUGCGUGGCUAGAGUACGGUAGAGGGUAGUGGAAUUUCCUGUGUAGCGGUGAAAUGCGUAGAUAUAGGAAGGAACACCAGUGGCGAAGGCGACUACCUGGACUGAUACUGACACUGAGGUGCGAAAGCGUGGGGAGCAAACAGGAUUAGAAACCCGUGUAGUCC
RNAcentral lists this ribosomal RNA (450 nucleotides) under uncultured bacterium. RNAcentral describes it as "bacterial SSU rRNA". It matches the Rfam family "Bacterial small subunit ribosomal RNA", at positions 354 to 796 of the family's 1533-position model. The record is from RNAcentral.